GUUUUCCUUCUAAGACUUAAGAACUCUACUUUCUAAGAGCUAACUUUGGAAGGAAUGUUUCUGGUCUGGAAAAUUUGGAGAGCAACCGCAAAAGGAAUUCAUGUCCAGGAGGAACUAGGAGUAGGGUGGGGAGCUCAGUUUCCUUUGAGACAGAUUGAAAUAAAUAUGUCUGUCUGAAAUAGUCAAAAAGAUCUAUUUCUUUCUUUCAUCAUUUUGCUAAAAAGUUCAAACUUGAUCAAAUUCAAGACAGACUCAGCCCAGGCACC
This 266-nucleotide long non-coding RNA is filed under the name Bos taurus (domestic cattle). Its description in RNAcentral is "long non-coding RNA NONBTAT017405". Lineage: Eukaryota; Metazoa; Chordata; Mammalia; Artiodactyla; Bovidae. The record is from RNAcentral.